GCUGUAAUGCGGCCACCGUAAGGUGCGGGUUCCAAGCCCCGGUAAACGCAGAGGACAGU
Molecule: non-coding RNA, 59 nt
Filed under: unclassified sequences
Source: RNAcentral